This 253-nucleotide ribosomal RNA is filed under the name uncultured bacterium. RNAcentral's name for it is "partial 16S ribosomal RNA". It matches the Rfam family "Bacterial small subunit ribosomal RNA", at positions 524 to 776 of the family's 1533-position model. The record is from RNAcentral.
UACGGGGGGGGCAAGUGUUGUUCGGAAUUACUGGGCGUAAAGGGUGCGUAGGCGGGCAGGUAAGUCAGUGGUGAAAUCUCCGGGCUUAACCCGGAAACUGCCGUUGAUACUAUCUGUCUUGAAUAUCGUGGAGGUGAGCGGAAUAUGUCAUGUAGCGGUGAAAUGCUUAGAUAUGACAUAGAACACCGAUUGCGAAGGCAGCUCGCUACACGGUUAUUGACGCUGAGGCACGAAAGCGUGGGGAUCAAACAGG